GCCAGUGAAGCUAUUCUAUAUCGCGACUGAAAGUACAAAGUGCCAAACUUUGUAUAAUUGUUGAAAGUAAUGAACUAGGACGGUCUGAGGC
Small nucleolar RNA from Humulus lupulus (European hop), 91 nucleotides. RefSeq annotates it as small nucleolar RNA snoR20a. The record is from RefSeq and is a predicted model, not a curated record. Lineage: Eukaryota; Viridiplantae; Streptophyta; Magnoliopsida; Rosales; Cannabaceae. The transcript has a single exon.